RNAcentral lists this ribosomal RNA (261 nucleotides) under uncultured bacterium. RNAcentral describes it as "partial 16S ribosomal RNA". It matches the Rfam family "Bacterial small subunit ribosomal RNA", at positions 793 to 1055 of the family's 1533-position model. The record is from RNAcentral.
GUCCACGCCGUAAACGAUGGAUGCUCGGCGUCCGUGGGGGAUACCCCGUGGGCGCCUCAGCUGACGCGGAAGCAUCCCGCCUGGGAACUACGAGCGCAAGCUUAAAACUCAAAGGAAUUGACGGGGGCCCGCACAAGCAGCGGAGCGUGUGGUUUAAUUCGACGCAACACGCAGAACCUUACCCAGCCUGGACAUGAACCUGCAGGCGUGAGAGAUCACGCGGCCUUCGAGGGUGGUUCACAGAUGCUGCAUGGCUGUCGU